CGCCCCAGAACCAGCCGCCGGCUCCACCUCCGACGAACGACGCACUCCUCCCGCUCCCACCAAUUCCAGUGCUAGCUUCAGCGAACACGAUCCAUUUCCCAGCGCCACCAACGCUCCUGCUGCUGCCACUGCCCGAGGCAGAGAAGAGCAUCAAUGAGAUGAGCAACAGCGAAAUUACAGUAAAGCCCCUUGGUUGUUCUUGCUUCUGCUUCACCACCAUCACCAAAGUGAGAACCCUUGAGGCCUUGGGGCCAGGACUUUCCCCUCUCUCUCUCUCUCACUUGGUGGAGCUUUAUUUUACUUUCUUUC
RNAcentral lists this unclassified non-coding RNA (309 nucleotides) under Hevea brasiliensis (rubber tree). Lineage: Eukaryota; Viridiplantae; Streptophyta; Magnoliopsida; Malpighiales; Euphorbiaceae. The record is from RNAcentral.